UAGGUUGGUUUUCAAACCCCAGUGUCCUAG
Molecule: non-coding RNA, 30 nt
Filed under: Rattus norvegicus (Norway rat)
Lineage: Eukaryota; Metazoa; Chordata; Mammalia; Rodentia; Muridae
Source: RNAcentral